Long non-coding RNA from Drosophila albomicans, 799 nucleotides. RefSeq lists it as uncharacterized. Lineage: Eukaryota; Metazoa; Arthropoda; Insecta; Diptera; Drosophilidae. The transcript is spliced from 3 exons. The record is from RefSeq and is a predicted model, not a curated record.
ACAUAUGUGUAUGAUUUUCGUCAGUUGAGCUGCAUCUGAGCAUCGUGUGAUACUGGCGGUUAACAGUAGCAGCAACUAAACGAGCUAACAACAACAACACAUACGCAAGUGCACAUGCAAAAGGAUUUUUUUUUUUUUAAAUUCAGUACCCAGCCCUUAAUGAGAAGAGAAAUUAAAAAGGAGAGAGCAAAACACUUAGUGUGGCCAGCUUACGGUUGGUCAAGAAUCUUUUGCCUUGAGAUUUACCAAAUUGGUAUUUUUCCAUAAACAAUAAGGUUGCUACGGACUGUUUGUCCUCCCUGGGGCCGCGCCGGCUGGCUCAUCGGUACUCAGGUGGAGUUCCAUCCCUGGCCGGCAGUCCGCACAAUCGAUAAUUCCACUGAUACAAAAAGCUGCAUUAAAAACAGAAGAAACGCAUCACUAUCAAAACAAAACAGCUGCCACGCAUUUUAAAAUUGCGCCAAACAAAGGGAAAUAUGAUAACAAACUAUUGACGACGGGACCCAGUUGACCCCGGCGUACCCACCCUGCCUGAGAUGGCCACAUCGGCGCCAUCUUCCUUGCGUUGGCUACUACAUCAGUGGCUGCUUCUCAUCCGGCGUAGCGCUGUGGAAUUCCCCUCCCCUCCAUGACGAGAUAUAUUAUAUUAAUUUAAGUUGCUUAAUCAUCUACCUUGACCUGCCUAAGAGCUCUUGGGAUUGGUUAAGAGGUAUAUGGUUAGGUGAGAUAAUGCAUAUAUGUAAAUUCAUAAAGGUAAUCUUAGAUAUCUCGCCGCGAAUAAUUUGUAAUUAAUUUGUAU